CCUACGGGUGGCAGCAGUGGGGAAUAUUGGACAAUGGGGGGAACCCUGAUGCAGCAACGCCGCGUGGGUGAAGAAGUACUCCUGUAUGUAAAGCCCCGUCAGCAGGGGAGAAAAUGACGGUACCUGACCCAGUCUCCACGGCUAACUCCGAUCCAGCAGCCGCGGUAACACGUAGGGGGCAAGCGUUAUCCGGAUUUACUGGGUGUAAAGGGAGCGUAGACGGCAAGGCAAGUCUGGAGUGAAAGCCCGUGGCCCAACCACGGGACUGCUUUGGAAACUGUGUGGCUGGAGUGCAGGUGGGGUAAGCGGAAUGCAUAGUGUAGCGGUGAAAUGCGUAGAUAUUAGGAGGAACACCGGUGGCGAAGGCGGCUUACUAGACUGUAACUGACGUUGAGGCUCGAAGGCGUGGGGAGCAAACAGGAUUAGAUACCCCAGUAGUC
This 440-nucleotide ribosomal RNA is filed under the name uncultured bacterium. RNAcentral's name for it is "partial 16S ribosomal RNA". It matches the Rfam family "Bacterial small subunit ribosomal RNA", at positions 338 to 795 of the family's 1533-position model. The record is from RNAcentral.